This 260-nucleotide ribosomal RNA is filed under the name uncultured Lamproderma sp. RNAcentral's name for it is "partial 18S ribosomal RNA". It matches the Rfam family "Eukaryotic small subunit ribosomal RNA", at positions 28 to 267 of the family's 1831-position model. The record is from RNAcentral. Lineage: Eukaryota; Evosea; Eumycetozoa; Stemonitida.
AUGCUUCUCCUAAAGACUAAGCCAUGCAUGCCUUCGAAUAAGAGGAAGCAAUUCUCUCUGAAUCUGCGAACGGCUCCGCAAACCAGUUGUAAACUAUAGCAAGCAGGCCGCGUGCCGGCCCUCACGGGCUGGUGCGCGGUCAGAUGGAUAACCCUGGUAAUUCUGAGGCUAAUACAUGAACGUAAACCUAGUUGACCGGGUUUCGGCCUGGGAUUCUGGGGGAUGUGUGAUUGCAGGCUUGGUUUAACCGGGAAUGGGCG